RNAcentral lists this ribosomal RNA (669 nucleotides) under uncultured Variovorax sp. RNAcentral describes it as "bacterial SSU rRNA". It matches the Rfam family "Bacterial small subunit ribosomal RNA", at positions 67 to 731 of the family's 1533-position model. Lineage: Bacteria; Pseudomonadati; Pseudomonadota; Betaproteobacteria; Burkholderiales; Comamonadaceae. The record is from RNAcentral.
CGGCAGCACGGGAGCAAUCCUGGUGGCGAGUGGCGAACGGGUGAGUAAAGUAUCGGAACGUGCCCAGUCGUGGGGGAUAACGCAGCGAAAGUUGUGCUAAUACCGCAUACGAUCUAUGGAUGAAAGCGGGGGAUCGCAAGACCUCGCGCGAUUGGAGCGGCCGAUAUCAGAUUAGGUAGUUGGUGGGGUAAAGGCUCACCAAGCCGACGAUCUGUAGCUGGUCUGAGAGGACGACCAGCCACACUGGAACUGAGACACGGUCCAGACUCCUACGGGAGGCAGCAGUGGGGAAUUUUGGACAAUGGGCGCAAGCCUGAUCCAGCAAUGCCGCGUGCAGGAUGAAGGCCUUCGGGUUGUAAACUGCUUUUGUACGGAACGAAAAGGCUCUGGUUAAUACCUGGGGCACAUGACGGUACCGUAAGAAUAAGCACCGGCUAACUACGUGCCAGCAGCCGCGGUAAUACGUAGGGUGCGAGCGUUAAUCGGAAUUACUGGGCGUAAAGCGUGCGCAGGCGGUAAUGCAAGACAGAUGUGAAAUCCCCGGGCUUAACCUGGGAACUGCAUUUGUGACUGCAUUGCUGGAGUGCGGCAGAGGGGGAUGGAAUUCCGCGUGUAGCAGUGAAAUGCGUAGAUAUGCGGAGGAACACCGAUGGCGAAGGCAAUCCCCUG